CCCGAAACCGAGUGACCUAUCCAUGGCCAGGAUGAAGCGGAAGUAAAAUUCCGUGGAGGUCCGAACCACGUUGGUGUUGAAAAACCAUGGGAUGAGCUGUGGAUAGCGGAGAAAUUCCAAUCGAACUCGGAGAUAGCUGGUUCUCCUCGAAAUAGCUUUAGGGCUAGCGUCGGGUAAUUGAGUAGUGGAGGUAGAGCACUGAAUGGGCUAGGGGCUGACAACAGUUACUGAACCCUAUCAAACUCCGAAUGCCAUAUACUUGUACCCCGGCAGUCAGACUACGAAUGAUAAGAUCCGUGGUCAAAAGGGAAACAGCCCAGACCAUCAGCUAAGGUCCCAAAGUGUAAGUUAAGUGGGAAAGGAUGUGGGAUUUCUAAGACAACUAGGAUGUUGGCUUAGAAGCAGCCACUCAUUUAAAGAGUGCGUAAUAGCUCACUAGUCGAGAGAUCCUGCGCCGAAGAUGUAACGGGGCUCAAACUUACCACCGAAGCUAUGGAUGUGUACUUUGUACACGUGGUAGAGGAGCUUUCUGUACAGGUUGAAGUCAUACCGUAAGGAGUGGUGGACAGUACAGAAGUGAGAAUGCUGGCAUAAGUAGCGAAAAACAAGUGAGAAUCUUGUUGACCGAAUAUCUAAGGUUUCCUGGGGAAGGCUCGUCCUCCCAGGGUUAGUCGGGACCUAAGCCGAGGCCGAAAGGCGUAGGUGAUGGACAACUGGUUGAUAUUCCAGUACCACCAUAAUGCGUUUGACAAAUGGGAUGCCGCAGGAGGAUAGGAUGUGCGCACUAUUGGAUGUGCGUCUAAGCACUUAGGGUGUUAAGUAGGCAAAUCCGCUUAACAUUAAGC
RNAcentral lists this ribosomal RNA (845 nucleotides) under Clostridium botulinum D/C. Its description in RNAcentral is "partial 23S ribosomal RNA". It matches the Rfam family "Bacterial large subunit ribosomal RNA", at positions 714 to 1556 of the family's 2925-position model. The record is from RNAcentral. Lineage: Bacteria; Bacillati; Bacillota; Clostridia; Eubacteriales; Clostridiaceae.